AUGCAGUCAAUACUACACCCUGUUCUCUGACCUGUGAGACCCGGGCUGGGAUGACUGCAAACAGCAAUCAGACUCCUUGGUCAUUCUGAGGCUUGUGACUUGUACAUGUCCUUCAUUAGAACCUUGGGGACAGUU
Molecule: small nucleolar RNA, 135 nt
Organism: Suncus etruscus (white-toothed pygmy shrew)
Lineage: Eukaryota; Metazoa; Chordata; Mammalia; Eulipotyphla; Soricidae
Product: small nucleolar RNA SNORA70
Exons: 1
Source: RefSeq, a predicted model, not a curated record